This 2902-nucleotide ribosomal RNA is filed under the name Escherichia coli. RNAcentral's name for it is "bacterial LSU rRNA". It matches the Rfam family "Bacterial large subunit ribosomal RNA". Lineage: Bacteria; Pseudomonadati; Pseudomonadota; Gammaproteobacteria; Enterobacterales; Enterobacteriaceae. RNAcentral also lists the same sequence under 1 other name. The record is from RNAcentral.
UUAAGCGACUAAGCGUACACGGUGGAUGCCCUGGCAGUCAGAGGCGAUGAAGGACGUGCUAAUCUGCGAUAAGCGUCGGUAAGGUGAUAUGAACCGUUAUAACCGGCGAUUUCCGAAUGGGGAAACCCAGUGUGAUUCGUCACACUAUCAUUAACUGAAUCCAUAGGUUAAUGAGGCGAACCGGGGGAACUGAAACAUCUAAGUACCCCGAGGAAAAGAAAUCAACCGAGAUUCCCCCAGUAGCGGCGAGCGAACGGGGAGCAGCCCAGAGCCUGAAUCAGUGUGUGUGUUAGUGGAAGCGUCUGGAAAGGCGCGCGAUACAGGGUGACAGCCCCGUACACAAAAAUGCACAUGCUGUGAGCUCGAUGAGUAGGGCGGGACACGUGGUAUCCUGUCUGAAUAUGGGGGGACCAUCCUCCAAGGCUAAAUACUCCUGACUGACCGAUAGUGAACCAGUACCGUGAGGGAAAGGCGAAAAGAACCCCGGCGAGGGGAGUGAAAAAGAACCUGAAACCGUGUACGUACAAGCAGUGGGAGCACGCUUAGGCGUGUGACUGCGUACCUUUUGUAUAAUGGGUCAGCGACUUAUAUUCUGUAGCAAGGUUAACCGAAUAGGGGAGCCGAAGGGAAACCGAGUCUUAACUGGGCGUUAAGUUGCAGGGUAUAGACCCGAAACCCGGUGAUCUAGCCAUGGGCAGGUUGAAGGUUGGGUAACACUAACUGGAGGACCGAACCGACUAAUGUUGAAAAAUUAGCGGAUGACUUGUGGCUGGGGGUGAAAGGCCAAUCAAACCGGGAGAUAGCUGGUUCUCCCCGAAAGCUAUUUAGGUAGCGCCUCGUGAAUUCAUCUCCGGGGGUAGAGCACUGUUUCGGCAAGGGGGUCAUCCCGACUUACCAACCCGAUGCAAACUGCGAAUACCGGAGAAUGUUAUCACGGGAGACACACGGCGGGUGCUAACGUCCGUCGUGAAGAGGGAAACAACCCAGACCGCCAGCUAAGGUCCCAAAGUCAUGGUUAAGUGGGAAACGAUGUGGGAAGGCCCAGACAGCCAGGAUGUUGGCUUAGAAGCAGCCAUCAUUUAAAGAAAGCGUAAUAGCUCACUGGUCGAGUCGGCCUGCGCGGAAGAUGUAACGGGGCUAAACCAUGCACCGAAGCUGCGGCAGCGACGCUGAUGCGUUGUUGGGUAGGGGAGCGUUCUGUAAGCCUGCGAAGGUGUGCUGUGAGGCAUGCUGGAGGUAUCAGAAGUGCGAAUGCUGACAUAAGUAACGAUAAAGCGGGUGAAAAGCCCGCUCGCCGGAAGACCAAGGGUUCCUGUCCAACGUUAAUCGGGGCAGGGUGAGUCGACCCCUAAGGCGAGGCCGAAAGGCGUAGUCGAUGGGAAACAGGUUAAUAUUCCUGUACUUGGUGUUACUGCGAAGGGGGGACGGAGAAGGCUAUGUUGGCCGGGCGACGGUUGUCCCGGUUUAAGCGUGUAGGCUGGUUUUCCAGGCAAAUCCGGAAAAUCAAGGCUGAGGCGUGAUGACGAGGCACUACGGUGCUGAAGCAACAAAUGCCCUGCUUCCAGGAAAAGCCUCUAAGCAUCAGGUAACAUCAAAUCGUACCCCAAACCGACACAGGUGGUCAGGUAGAGAAUACCAAGGCGCUUGAGAGAACUCGGGUGAAGGAACUAGGCAAAAUGGUGCCGUAACUUCGGGAGAAGGCACGCUGAUAUGUAGGUGAAGUCCCUCGCGGAUGGAGCUGAAAUCAGUCGAAGAUACCAGCUGGCUGCAACUGUUUAUUAAAAACACAGCACUGUGCAAACACGAAAGUGGACGUAUACGGUGUGACGCCUGCCCGGUGCCGGAAGGUUAAUUGAUGGGGUCAGCGCAAGCGAAGCUCUUGAUCGAAGCCCCGGUAAACGGCGGCCGUAACUAUAACGGUCCUAAGGUAGCGAAAUUCCUUGUCGGGUAAGUUCCGACCUGCACGAAUGGCGUAAUGAUGGCCAGGCUGUCUCCACCCGAGACUCAGUGAAAUUGAACUCGCUGUGAAGAUGCAGUGUACCCGCGGCAAGACGGAAAGACCCCGUGAACCUUUACUAUAGCUUGACACUGAACAUUGAGCCUUGAUGUGUAGGAUAGGUGGGAGGCUUUGAAGUGUGGACGCCAGUCUGCAUGGAGCCGACCUUGAAAUACCACCCUUUAAUGUUUGAUGUUCUAACGUUGACCCGUGAUCCGGGUUGCGGACAGUGUCUGGUGGGUAGUUUGACUGGGGCGGUCUCCUCCUAAAGAGUAACGGAGGAGCACGAAGGUUGGCUAAUCCUGGUCGGACAUCAGGAGGUUAGUGCAAUGGCAUAAGCCAGCUUGACUGCGAGCGUGACGGCGCGAGCAGGUGCGAAAGCAGGUCAUAGUGAUCCGGUGGUUCUGAAUGGAAGGGCCAUCGCUCAACGGAUAAAAGGUACUCCGGGGAUAACAGGCUGAUACCGCCCAAGAGUUCAUAUCGACGGCGGUGUUUGGCACCUCGAUGUCGGCUCAUCACAUCCUGGGGCUGAAGUAGGUCCCAAGGGUAUGGCUGUUCGCCAUUUAAAGUGGUACGCGAGCUGGGUUUAGAACGUCGUGAGACAGUUCGGUCCCUAUCUGCCGUGGGCGCUGGAGAACUGAGGGGGGCUGCUCCUAGUACGAGAGGACCGGAGUGGACGCAUCACUGGUGUUCGGGUUGUCAUGCCAAUGGCACUGCCCGGUAGCUAAAUGCGGAAGAGAUAAGUGCUGAAAGCAUCUAAGCACGAAACUUGCCCCGAGAUGAGUUCUCCCUGACUCCUUGAGAGUCCUGAAGGAACGUUGAAGACGACGACGUUGAUAGGCCGGGUGUGUAAGCGCAGCGAUGCGUUGAGCUAACCGGUACUAAUGAACCGUGAGGCUUAACCUU